GACACGCUGGGCGGCGUGCCCUAAACACAUGCAAGUCGAGCGGAGUCGAUCGACGGAAGCCUUCGGGCGGAAGAUGGUUGACUUAGCGGCGGAUGGGUGAGUAACGCGUGGGCAACCUGCCUCGAAGACCGGGAUAACAGCCCGAAAGGGCUGCUAAUACCGGAUGUGGUCAAGGAUCCGCAUGGAUUUUUGAUUAAAGGGGAAACCCGUUUCGAGAUGGGCCCGCGUCCUAUCAGCUAGUUGGUGAGGUAAAAGCUCACCAAGGCGACGACGGGUAGCCGGCCUGAGAGGGUGACCGGCCACACUGGAACUGAGACACGGUCCAGACUCCUACGGGGGGCAGCAGUGGGGAAUAUUGCACAAUGGGGGAAACCCUGAUGCAGCGACGCCGCGUGAAGGAAGAAGGCCCUCGGGUUGUAAACUUCUUUGACCAGGGACGAAGAAAGUGACGGUACCUGGAGAACAAGCCACGGCUAACUACGUG
RNAcentral lists this ribosomal RNA (484 nucleotides) under uncultured bacterium. RNAcentral describes it as "bacterial SSU rRNA". It matches the Rfam family "Bacterial small subunit ribosomal RNA", at positions 38 to 507 of the family's 1533-position model. The record is from RNAcentral.